Molecule: ribosomal RNA, 253 nt
Filed under: uncultured bacterium
Lineage: Bacteria
Description: partial 16S ribosomal RNA
Rfam family: Bacterial small subunit ribosomal RNA
Source: RNAcentral
UACGUAGGGGGCAAGCGUUGUCCGGAAUUACUGGGCGUAAAGCGUGCGCAGGCGGCUUCUCAAGUCAGGGGUGAAAGCCCAGAGCUCAACUCUGGAAUUGCCUUUGAGACUGAGUGGCUUGAGUACGAGAGAGGUGAGUGGAAUUCCCAGUGUAGAGGUGAAAUUCGUAGAUAUUGGGAAGAACACCGGUGGCGAAGGCGGCUCACUGGCUCGUAACUGACGCUCAUGCACGACAGCGUGGGGAUCAAACAGG